CCUACGGGAGGCAGCAGUGGGGAAUAUUGGACAAUGGGCGCAAGCCUGAUCCAGCCAUGCCGCGUGAGUGAUGAAGGCCUUAGGGUUGUAAAGCUCUUUUGGCGGGGACGAUAAUGACGGUACCCGCAGAAUAAGUCCCGGCUAACUUCGUGCCAGCAGCCGCGGUAAUACGAAGGGGACUA
This 182-nucleotide ribosomal RNA is filed under the name uncultured bacterium. RNAcentral's name for it is "partial 16S ribosomal RNA". It matches the Rfam family "Bacterial small subunit ribosomal RNA", at positions 338 to 537 of the family's 1533-position model. The record is from RNAcentral.